UACGUAGGCAGCAAGCGUUGUUCGGAGUUACUGGGCGUAAAGGGCGCGUAGGCGGCCGUUCAAGUUUGGCGUGAAAUCUCCCGGCUCAACCGGGAGGGUGCGCCGAAUACUGAGUGGCUAGAGUGCGGGAGAGGAAAGUGGAAUUCCUGGUGUAGCGGUGAAAUGCGUAGAUAUCAGGAGGAACACCGGUGGUGUAGACGGCUUUCUGGACCGUGACUGACGCUGAGGCGCGAAAGCGUGGGUAGCAAACAGG
This 253-nucleotide ribosomal RNA is filed under the name uncultured bacterium. RNAcentral's name for it is "partial 16S ribosomal RNA". It matches the Rfam family "Bacterial small subunit ribosomal RNA", at positions 524 to 776 of the family's 1533-position model. The record is from RNAcentral.